GGAACAGAUAGACAAGGAAAUCCCUGAUUAUGGUGGAGUAGCAUCAUAUGCCCAUGUAAAUUAUCUUGCAUAAGGUAUUCUGUGUGAGGGAAGGAGAGAGAGAGAGAAGAUGAUUGGGGAGCAAAGGAAAGGGAAUGGAAGGGAAAAGAAAGCAAAAUAAGAAUUUAAAUAAUGGCAGGCCUUUCUCCUGCUUCCUUCCUCCAUGAGCACAUGACCAACGUAAGUAUGAGUGUCAUCAGGAACCUACUUUUCCUUCAAUCACUCUCGUUUCUUACUUGCCUUGCAGAGUGUGAACAGCUCACCACCCUAAAUACAGUUUUCCUGCUUAAAGAUAUAUAUUCUUUAAAUCAGAUCUAUCUCGUCUCCAACAAGACUGAAAGCUCCUGAAGAUAAGGAUAAUGGAAAGUAUCUGUAGCUGACAAUUCUCACAGCUAAAUACUCAUUUCAGGAUUUCAAUGACUAUGUACUACCGGUUGAGGAGUCUCAAUGAGAACCCCAAAACUGUAACUCUUGUGGAUUUAUGUUUCAUUAACUUGUUUUCAUCUACUGCUGUGGAUCCAGGUUCAGUAAGAAGAACAAGGACAGAAUAAAUCCUUAUGUAUACUUGCCCUUUGGAACUGGACCCAGAAACUGCAUUGCCAUGAGAUUCGCUAUCAUGAACAUGAAACUUGCUGUUGUCAAGUUGCUGCAGAACUUCUCCUUCAAACCUUGUGAAGAAACACAGAUCCCCCUGAAAUUAUGCAAUCAAGGGCUAAUGGAACCACAAAAACCCAUUGUUCUAAAGGUUGAAUUCAGAGACAGAACCGUGAGUGGCCCCUGAUUUUCCUAAGGACUUCCAUUUUGUUCUUCAAGGAAGCUGUGUCCCAGAACACCAGAGACCUCAAUUUACUUUGUGAAUAAACCCCAGUAUAAAGAUGGGCUUACUACUGCCCUUGAUGGAUGCCUGGGUAUCCUUACACUCAUUGAGCUUCCUCGGUGUCUAAGUAGAGUGUUAUUUGUUGUGUGAUAUAAAUGAAGAGGCUGAGUAAUUGCCAUAUAUGUGAACUCACCUUAUCUGGUUCUCACAGGAUGAUCUACACCCAGCCCUAGUUAGUACCACAUACUUUCCCUGAGCACUGAUCAGGAAUAAAAGUUUCUCCACUAUUUUAACAAACUUUAAUGAAAAUGAGAAUUAUUGUGCUAACUGCAGUAGAGACAUUUAUGUGUUCGUUUUGUAUCCUCUAUAAACUAUUAUACUGAGCAUGUCAUUAAACAUCUCUUCACAAAAGUAUUAUUUGAUGGCUUCAUGUACGUUAGGGGGAAUCUAUAGAAGUGAAUCAGUGAGAGCCAGUGACUUAAAAGUUUUUCACCAUCACAAUCACAGGUUGGGUUGGAAUAUUUCAGAGCUCCCAGUAGAUAUAUUAAGAUAGCUGAAAGUUAAUCCACUGUGAGUUUGAGUGUUGCUUAAAAAGUAUAUUCAUAUUUUACUUGUUCCUUUUGGGGAACAAAUAUUUUUGUACCACUCAGCUGAGCAUUUAGUAUUAUAUUAUUAGCUUUGAUUCAAUGUUUUCAUCUUAUCUCCCUGAUAUUUCUGAAAGGCACAAAACAUGUUUUCUUAUAAUUCUUUCUACUCUAUUUUCAACUCCCAACUGUGUUAACACAAUGGAAAUCAAGUAAAAAGUGAUUGAUAGAUCAAUUGAUUGGAGAGAAAGGCUAAAAUUAUUCACCAGAUUCAGUUGCUGUCAGAAGAUGCACACGUUCUUCCUUUUCAUUUUCUGCCCCUUCUCUCCACUUCCCUUUCCUCUUCUUCACUUCCCUCCUU
Long non-coding RNA from Equus caballus (horse), 1801 nucleotides. Lineage: Eukaryota; Metazoa; Chordata; Mammalia; Perissodactyla; Equidae. The record is from Ensembl.